This 492-nucleotide ribosomal RNA is filed under the name uncultured bacterium. RNAcentral describes it as "partial 16S ribosomal RNA". It matches the Rfam family "Bacterial small subunit ribosomal RNA", at positions 29 to 507 of the family's 1533-position model. The record is from RNAcentral.
AGUGAACGCUGGCGGUAGGCCUAACACAUGCAAGUCGAACGGCAGCACAGUAAGAGCUUGCUCUUACGGGUGGCGAGUGGCGGACGGGUGAGGAAUACAUCGGAAUCUACUUUUUCGUGGGGGAUAACGUAGGGAAACUUACGCUAAUACCGCAUACGACCUACGGGUGAAGGCAGGGGAUCUUCGGACCUUGCGCGAUUGAAUGAGCCGAUGUCGGAUUAGCUAGUUGGCGGGGUAAAGGCCCACCAAGGCGACGAUCCGUAGCUGGUCUGAGAAGAUGAUCAGCCACACUGGAACUGAGACACGGUCCAGACUCCUACGGGAGGCAGCAGUGGGGAAUAUUGGACAAUGGGCGCAAGCCUGAUCCAGCCAUACCGCGUGGGUGAAGAAGGCCUUCGGGUUGUAAAGCCCUUUUGUUGGGAAAGAAAAGCAGCAGGUUAAUACCCCGCUGUUCUGACGGUACCCAAAGAAUAAGCACCGGCUAACUUCGUG